This 757-nucleotide long non-coding RNA is filed under the name Gallus gallus (chicken). The record is from RNAcentral. Lineage: Eukaryota; Metazoa; Chordata; Aves; Galliformes; Phasianidae.
GGACAUUCGAUGACUCUGGGAACUUUCUCCGGGGUUACCUGCACUGUUUUUCCCAAGCAACAAUUCGCACAGCUUCAAAAGAGGAGACGUACCGAAUUUGACAAACAGCACACCGGUGGUAGAAACAGUCUUCCUGCCAUUCGUAGCGACGCACUGGAAGUAGCCGGUGUCGGUAGUGUCCAGGUUUCUGAUUCGGAGCCGGGAGCCGUAGCUGGUAGCACGGAAGGAGAUGCGCCGGGGCUCCUGGACCACGGGAGCGUCGUUCUUCAGCCAGCGCACGGUGGGCGGCGGAUUGCCGGAGACCUUGCAGUGCAGCUCUGCGGUCUGGCCAAGAGUGGUGGUGAUGUUGUUCAUGGGCUCGUCCAGCGUCAAGAAGUAAUCUCUAUCUAGCUCACUCGAGAUGUUCCAUGAUGACGUAGGCAUGAAAUCAACAACCACUGACGAAUUUGCUCCUGGCGUGGUGUCCGCCGGCUCGGCCCGGCUCCCCGCUCGCAGCAGCAGCAGCAGCGGGAGCAGCAGGAGCCUCCCGUCCCCGCCGCCCGGCCGGGGCGGCUGCCGCAUUCCUGAGCCGACGCCGCGUUACUCCGACAUCCACCGCGCAGCGCCGCGGGGCCGCCUCUCUUCUCCUCUCUCCUCCGUCCGUCCCGCGCCGCGCCCUCGGGGCUGCGCUCUGCCGGCGGGCGGGGAAGGCGGCGCGGGCGGCCGCCUCAGCCCUCACUUGUCACUUUCCUCCCGCUCCGCUCCGCGCGCAGCCCGG